Molecule: transfer RNA, 87 nt
Filed under: Rhodospirillales bacterium
Lineage: Bacteria; Pseudomonadati; Pseudomonadota; Alphaproteobacteria; Rhodospirillales
Description: tRNA-Leu
Rfam family: tRNA
About the family: Transfer RNA (tRNA) molecules are approximately 80 nucleotides in length. Their secondary structure includes four short double-helical elements and three loops (D, anti-codon, and T loops). Further hydrogen bonds mediate the characteristic L-shaped molecular structure. tRNAs have two regions of fundamental functional importance: the anti-codon, which is responsible for specific mRNA codon recognition, and the 3' end, to which the tRNAs corresponding amino acid is attached (by aminoacyl-tRNA synthetases). tRNAs cope with the degeneracy of the genetic code in two manners: having more than one tRNA (with a specific anti-codon) for a particular amino acid; and 'wobble' base-pairing, i.e. permitting non-standard base-pairing at the 3rd anti-codon position.
Source: RNAcentral
GCGGGCGUGGUGGAACUGGUAGACGCGCCGGACUCAAAAUCCGGUUCUAGUGAUAGAGUGUCGGUUCGAUUCCGACCGCCCGCACCA